Molecule: ribosomal RNA, 157 nt
Filed under: uncultured bacterium
Lineage: Bacteria
Description: partial 16S ribosomal RNA
Rfam family: Bacterial small subunit ribosomal RNA
Source: RNAcentral
CUUCCACCAAUGGACGAAAGUACUGAUGGAGCAACGCCGCCGUGAGUGAAGAAGGGUUUCGGCUCGUAAAGCUCUGUUGGUAGUGAAGAAAGAUAGAGGUAGUAACUGGCCUUUAUUUGACGGUAAUUACUUAGAAAGUCACGGCUAACUACGUGCC